CUACGGGUGGCUGCAGUAACGAAUAUUGGGCAAUGGGCGCAAGCCUGACCCAGCAAUGCCGCGUGCGGGAGGAAGUCCCUCGGGAUGUAAACCGCUUUUAGGGGUAGACAAGUAACUCGGGUAAACAAUCCGGGAAGUUGAGUUGCCCCAGAAAAAGCCUCGGCUAACUCUGUGCCAGCAGCCGCGGUAAUACAGAGGAGGCAAGCGUUGUUCGGAAUCAUUGGGCUUAAAGGGCGUGUAGGCGGCGGCGCAAGUGUCGAGUGAAAUCCCACUGCUCAACGGUGGAACCGCUCGGCAAACUGCGUCGCUUGAGGUCGGUAGAGGUGCUCGGAACUCUAGGUGGAGCGGUGAAAUGCGUAGAUAUCUAGAGGAACGCCUGAGGCGAAGCGGGGCACUGGGCCGAAUCUGACGCUGAGACGCGGAAGCGUGGGGAUCAAACAGGAUUAGAUACCCGCGUAGUC
Molecule: ribosomal RNA, 461 nt
Filed under: uncultured bacterium
Lineage: Bacteria
Description: partial 16S ribosomal RNA
Rfam family: Bacterial small subunit ribosomal RNA
Source: RNAcentral